This is a long non-coding RNA of Aedes aegypti (yellow fever mosquito), 366 nucleotides long. RefSeq lists it as uncharacterized. The transcript has 2 exons. NCBI's taxonomy places the organism in Eukaryota, Metazoa, Arthropoda, Insecta, Diptera, Culicidae. The record is from RefSeq and is a predicted model, not a curated record.
AAUCUUCUUUUGCUCGGUUUGGUUGUACGGUUGGCUGUAGAGAAGCAUUGUAAAUUUUGGGAGAAUUCCAGGAAAAAGCAUCCAGGAUGAAGUUUCUGUACUGCGUUUUGCUGCUGUUCCUGGCGAUAAAUGUCGGGUAUUGCGCUGCCAUUCCCGUAGAUGCGGAGAGCAAUGCCAUUGGUGAUCGUUCAAACCGCAUGUUCGUACAAGUGCUCAACUGCACCAGUCCCAACUGUAAGGCCCAAUGUAGAGGACGAGGAUACCGCACAGGGCAGUGCCAGAUUGGACGAUGUUUCUGCUCAUAUGUUUAAAAACUGUGUAUUAUAUGUAUUAUUUAUGAUUGAAUAUAAGAUAGUGUAGAACAUA